This 253-nucleotide ribosomal RNA is filed under the name uncultured bacterium. RNAcentral describes it as "partial 16S ribosomal RNA". It matches the Rfam family "Bacterial small subunit ribosomal RNA", at positions 524 to 776 of the family's 1533-position model. The record is from RNAcentral.
UACGGGGGGGGCAAGCGUUGUUCGGAAUUACUGGGCGUAAAGGGUUCGUAGGUGGCCAACUCAGUCAGACGUGAAAUCCCUCAGCUCAACUGGGGAACUGCGUCUGAUACUAGAUGGCUUGAGUGCAGGAGAGGAACGCGGAAUUCCAGGUGUAGCGGUGAAAUGCGUAGAUAUCUGGAGGAACACCGGUGGCGAAGGCGGCAUCCUGGACCAAUAUUGACGCUGAGGAGCGAAAGCCAGGGGAGCAAACGGG